Molecule: long non-coding RNA, 365 nt
Organism: Ictalurus punctatus (channel catfish)
Lineage: Eukaryota; Metazoa; Chordata; Actinopteri; Siluriformes; Ictaluridae
Source: Ensembl
CAGAGCGAGAGACAGACAGACAGCGAGAGACAGACAGACAGAGCGAGAGAGAAAAGCAGUGGAAUGAAAUAAAUAUGAAAGAGCUAUCAAAUUCUGUGAUGGUGUGUGUGUGUACAUGUGUGUACCAGUAGCCCCUGUAUGAUGUGUGUGUGUGUGUGUGUACAUAGGUGUAGCCCCUGUAUGAUGGUGUGUGUGUGUGUGUGUGUGUAUGUACCAGUAGCCCCUGUAUGAUGGUGAUGGUGUGUGUGUAUGUAUGUGUAGCCCCUGUAUGAUGGUGUGUGUGUGUGUGUAUGUACGCAGUAGCCCCUGUAUGAUGGUGUGUGUGUGUGGUGUAUGUACCAGUAGCCCCUGUAUGAUGGUGUGUG